RNAcentral lists this ribosomal RNA (500 nucleotides) under uncultured bacterium. RNAcentral's name for it is "bacterial SSU rRNA". It matches the Rfam family "Bacterial small subunit ribosomal RNA", at positions 29 to 523 of the family's 1533-position model. The record is from RNAcentral.
AUUGAACGCUGGCGGCGUGCUUAACACAUGCAAGUCGAUUGGUAACAGGUGUAGCAAUACAUGCUGACGAGAGGCGGACGGGUGAGUAAUGCUUGGGAAUCUGCCUAUUAGUGGGGGACAACCCGGGGAAACUCGGGCUAAUACCGCAUACGCUCUACGGAGGAAAGCCGGGGACCGCAAGGCCUGGCGCUAAUAGAUGAGCCCAAGUCGGAUUAGCUAGUUGGAGGGUAACGGCCUACCAAGGCGACAAUCCGUAGCUGGUCUGAGAGGACGACCAGCCACACCGGAACUGAGACACGGUCCGGACUCCUACGGGAGGCAGCAGUGGGGAAUAUUGGACAAUGGGGGCAACCCUGAUCCAGCGACGCCGCGUGGGUGAAGAAGGCCUGCGGGUUGUAAAGCCCUUCGGUGGGGAAGAAAAGUCUCGACCUAAUACGUCGGGACCUUGACGUAACCCACUAAAGAAGCACCGGCUAACUCUGUGCCAGCCGCCGCGGUAA